Molecule: ribosomal RNA, 406 nt
Filed under: uncultured bacterium
Lineage: Bacteria
Description: partial 16S ribosomal RNA
Rfam family: Bacterial small subunit ribosomal RNA
Source: RNAcentral
AUUGAACGCUGGCGGCAGGCUUAACACAUGCAAGUCGAGCGAGCGGCGGACGGGUGAGUAAUGUCUGGGAAACUGCCUGAUGGAGGGGGAUAACUACUGGAAACGGUAGCUAAUACCGCAUACCAUCAGAUGUGCCCAGAUGGGAUUAGCUAGUGGGUGGGGUAAUGGCUCACCUAGGCGACGAUCCCUAGCUGGUCUGAGAGGAUGACCAGCCACACUGGGACGGAGACACGGUCCAGACUCCUACGGGAGGCAGCAGUGGGGAAUAUUGCACAAUGGGGGCAAGCCUGAUCCAGCCAUGCCGCGUGUGUGAGGAAGGCCUUCGGGUUGUAAAGCACUUUUGGCAGGGAGGCGUUAUCUGCAGAAUAAGCACCGGCUAACUCCGUGCCAGCAGCCGCGGUAAUUC